This 253-nucleotide ribosomal RNA is filed under the name uncultured bacterium. Its description in RNAcentral is "partial 16S ribosomal RNA". It matches the Rfam family "Bacterial small subunit ribosomal RNA", at positions 524 to 776 of the family's 1533-position model. The record is from RNAcentral.
UACGUAGGGGGCGAGCGUUGUCCGGAUUUAUUGGGCGUAAAGAGCGUGUAGGCGGCCAGAUAGGUCUGCUGUGAAAACUCGAGGCUCAACCUCGAGCUGUCGGCGGAAACCAUCUGGCUAGAGUCCGGAAGAGGAGAGUGGAAUUCCUGGUGUAGCGGUGAAAUGCGCAGAUAUCAGGAAGAACACCUAUGGCGAAGGCAGCUCUCUGGGACGGUACUGACGCUGAGACGCGAAAGCGUGGGGAGCGAACAGG